GUCGUGGUUUGAAGGGAAGUGAAUUUUUUUGGAAGUAGUGGUCAAACCAAUCAGUCCUUAGGUCUGAGUAUUGGCACCUUUGUUGGCCACUAAGAGGUUGGACACGCCUCUGAGGACACGAGGGGUUAAAAGCCGGAUUUCCCAGCAGGACUCUCUCUUUCCCUGCUCUGCUUUCGGAGAGGGAGCGUCUUCUCCUCUCCCCUGCCCGGGCCUGGCUAGGCCGGGUGGGGGAGGGGAGCAAGGUGGGCCUGGCUGAGCAAGAGAGAAGGUGCCGAGUUGGAGCUGCUUGUGAGAGCUGCAGUGCCUGCGAUCGCCUGUGCCUGACCUUGGUGGUGGGAGAUAAAGCUUUUAACUCUUUCUAAGGCAGAAGAGAGUUAUCCCUGGACGCUGUAUUCUCAUAGUUGGUGGUUUUAGAAGAGAGAGGACAGCCUGGGACCGAGAGGGUAAUGUGAGAUGGAAAGAAGCCCCUUUGAUUGCCGGAAUGAAGAGGAGUGGCCUAUUGGCCGGACUUUUCUUGCAUAAUGAUAGCCAUAGACGGACCCUGGACCCUCCUGACUAUAAAUAAGACUGUGUUUGGGUGGAUGUUUUUGGCUCAAACCCAGAGACGUUCUGGCCUGCUUCUUGGAGCCCCCGGCCCCAGGGGUAAAUGGGGGGGACCUGAGUCCCAAAAUGAGAAGAUGGCUGGUUUUUGGUACUUGGCCAAAACAUCCUUAAAAAGAGCCCUGUUGCAGUUCAGGUCCAUGGACGGCAGUGAGAGUGCCGGACAUGGAAAGGAGGGUGUCACCCUGGCAGACUCUUCGAGGCAGUGCCAUGGGUGACGUGGGAACACGGGAUGGUGGACCUGUGUUUCCUGUGGGGGAGGGUCUGUGGUGCGAGAGAGACUCCUCUCGUCCUGGAUGGAAUGUGGAUUGUCUGAAUUUUAAAGGAUGAUGAUUUGGAUUAGGAACCCAGGGUUGUUGAGGGAUUAAGCAAGUAGAUGAAGGUAAUGUGCUGGAGACAACUGAGUGAGCAUGUAUGGAAUGGAAAUUGGGGGGGAGGAGAAGCAGUGUUUUUGGGAGGUUUUCUCUUCUGCUUUUGGGUGGCUGGGUUUUUCUUUCCUUGUCUAUUGUCCAUUGUUAUGUGGUGUAAUAAAUUGUCUGUCUGUUUCAAGCA
Molecule: long non-coding RNA, 1152 nt
Organism: Prinia subflava (tawny-flanked prinia)
Lineage: Eukaryota; Metazoa; Chordata; Aves; Passeriformes; Cisticolidae
Exons: 2
Source: RefSeq, a predicted model, not a curated record